UAUGAUAUAUAUGAAAAGUUUUUUUAAAUAUAAUUUAGCUUGAUGAUUUUGAAGUUCAUAAUCUUUUUCGUUCUCCAAAAGAAUGAAAAACCGAUGAGGAUUCCCCGCGUUUGUUAAUUUGGUGUUGUUGCUUUGCUAAACAAGUUCUAUCUCUCGUACAGAAUUACACGUGAUUCAUCAUUGCUUUCUUUAACGUUUUGAAAACACAUUUUGCCAUGACACGCGUUCAAUCCGCGGCCAGUUAACAAUUCUCACAGAUCACCAACGAGGCGGAUAAGAUUGCAGGCACACUUUUCGCACGUUCGUUAUCUUAGAGUGCGUACCAUUGCACGCAUUAUGCUUAUGAUGUAUCCUAUCACUUCAUCAUUUAUAUUCUUUAAUAUUUGAUGACCAACAAUGAUAAAAUGAUACAUCAUGUACAUCAUGCGUGAAACGGAACGCAUCCUUAGUCGCGAGCCGCGUGCGAGAGCCAUGGAGCUGAGGUACCAACGAGAUUUCGGGAAAUGUGAGUCUCUGUUCUCUGUUUGAAAAAAAAAGAAAAAACCAAUCACACACAUACACUACGGCAGUGUUUAUCCCAUUUCUCGUCCAUCCUGGAAUAGGACCAUCCAUCGAGAGGCACCAGAGAGUUGGAAUCCUGGGUGAAUAUGUGGAUGGUUGAUAUCCGUGAACGUACCUCUUGGAUGGAACAAAAAAAACGAACGAGCAAGUGUUGGCAAGUUUUUGAGAUGCAAGUGGUGGAAAGACGCGAAAGAGCGAGCGAGCGAGAGAGAAAGAAAGAGAGGUGAAAGGAUCUGAAGAGUAAAAGGGGAGAGAGAGAGCGAGAGAGGAGUAUAUAUUUUUGCAGGCUAAUAGAAUUUGGUGGGAUGAUGAUGAUGAUGAUGAUAUAAUAAUAAUAAUAAUAAUAAUAUUAAUAAUAAUGAUGAUGAUGAUGAUACACUGCGCCGAGAGAAGUUGCUAGACAAGUGUGGAGCGAGUGCUUUUUUGAAAGCGUGAGGAAAUUUUUUUCGUAAGCGUGACUGCGAAACACAACAUAAGUGAAAGUCGGGUACCCCCGCUAGACGAUUUAAUGUCUUAACGCGGUUUUGCUUUCAGAUUGUGAGAGCGUACGUCGCGAUCUGUGGCGGUGGUUGAUCACAAUUUAAUCCGCACUUGCUCUCGCGAAAGAAGAGACAGAUAGAACACCUGAGGCAGACGCGGACGUAAACUUACGUUUGGAAAAGUCUACUUAAUUUUGAAGAGGUAUACUGGCUUGAACAUAACUGAUACAAACUGAGGACAAUGUGUGCAUGAUUAAAAUUCAGUUAUCUAUUGAACGUCGCAUGUGAGGAGUUCCAGUAUAAUUCACGAAUAUAUGUCGAACAUUAAAGUAAAAAAGUC
Molecule: long non-coding RNA, 1380 nt
Organism: Cyphomyrmex costatus
Lineage: Eukaryota; Metazoa; Arthropoda; Insecta; Hymenoptera; Formicidae
Exons: 3
Source: RefSeq, a predicted model, not a curated record